Molecule: ribosomal RNA, 668 nt
Filed under: uncultured Actinomycetes bacterium
Lineage: Bacteria; Bacillati; Actinomycetota; Actinomycetes
Description: bacterial SSU rRNA
Rfam family: Bacterial small subunit ribosomal RNA
Source: RNAcentral
AAGCGUGGGGAGCGAACAGGAUUAGAUACCCUGGUAGUCCACGCCGUAAACGGUGGGCGCUAGUUGUGGGAACCUUCCACGGUUUCUGCGACGCAGCUAACGCAUUAAGCGCCCCGCCUGGGGAGUACGAUCGCAAGAUUAAAACUCAAAGGAAUUGACGGGGCCCCGCACAAGCAGCGGAGCAUGCGGCUUAAUUCGACGCAACGCGAAGAACCUUACCAAGGCUUGACAUCUACCGGAAUGCAGUAGAGAUAUUGCAGCUGUAAAAGGUCGGUAGACAGGUGGUGCAUGGUUGUCGUCAGCUCGUGUCGUGAGAUGUUGGGUUAAGUCCCGCAACGAGCGCAACCCUCGUUCUGUGUUGCCAGCAUUUAGUUGGGGACUCACAGGAGACUGCCGGGGUUAACUCGGAGGAAGGUGGGGAUGACGUCAAAUCAUCAUGCCCCUUAUGUCUUGGGCUGCACGCAUGCUACAAUGGCUGGUACAAAGGGCUGCGAGACCGCAAGGUGGAGCGAAUCCCAUAAAGCCAGUCUCAGUUCGGAUUGGGGUCUGCAACUCGACCCCAUGAAGUCGGAGUUGCUAGUAAUCGUAGAUCAGCAACGCUACGGUGAAUACGUUCCCGGGGCUUGUACACACCGCCCGUCACGUCACGAAAGUCGGUAACACCCGAA